AUUUAAAUAGCUUAAAGUUAAGAGCAUAAUAUUGAAGAUAUUAAGGUGAUUGUUAAAUCUUUAAAUA
Molecule: transfer RNA, 67 nt
Filed under: Cirrochroa tyche
Lineage: Eukaryota; Metazoa; Arthropoda; Insecta; Lepidoptera; Nymphalidae
Description: tRNA-Phe
Rfam family: tRNA
About the family: Transfer RNA (tRNA) molecules are approximately 80 nucleotides in length. Their secondary structure includes four short double-helical elements and three loops (D, anti-codon, and T loops). Further hydrogen bonds mediate the characteristic L-shaped molecular structure. tRNAs have two regions of fundamental functional importance: the anti-codon, which is responsible for specific mRNA codon recognition, and the 3' end, to which the tRNAs corresponding amino acid is attached (by aminoacyl-tRNA synthetases). tRNAs cope with the degeneracy of the genetic code in two manners: having more than one tRNA (with a specific anti-codon) for a particular amino acid; and 'wobble' base-pairing, i.e. permitting non-standard base-pairing at the 3rd anti-codon position.
Source: RNAcentral